UCUCUCCCUCUCUCUCAUCAGUCGCGGUCUCCGCCGCCGCCGUAUCUUGCUCCUCGCGAGCUCCGCCGCGAACUGCUCCGGCGAGGACGACGGCCAGCCGAGCUUCCUCCCUUCGUCUCGUUUCUUCCUCCAUUCAAUUGUCAGCCCUAACUCACAAAUUGAAGGUCGCCGUCGCCGCUGCAACUGGGUGUCCGGCGAACGGCCGUCGUCUGCGUCUCUGAGGCCGCCGCCUUCGCUCGUCCUCCCUCCUUUCUCGAAGGGAAAGAAAAGCCCCAAUUCUCCCUUGAAGUUUCAAACGGGUUUUCUCCCCCAAAAUCCGAUCGGCCUUCCCUCUCAACUCCGGUUGGCUUCUCCUUCCCCGGCCGUUCAGCUUCCGCCAGCUCCGUCCGGCGUCAGCUGUCUCCGUGUCUAACCCCGGCGUCGCCCCUUCUCGGUUCAGCCACGUUGUUGCUGGUCCAGAAUCGGCGAGGGUCGUCGUGAGGUCAGGAGUCGUCUGCCUUUCACCGCUCGACGCCGACGAUGCUUCUGUCCCCGCGAGUUACCGCCCACUGGACGUAUCUCGGUCUGAACGAACAGGGCAGCAGCCCCUCAUUUCUAAAAGCUAAGUCCCCAUCUACUCUAUUGUAAAGCUUGAUUUUCCUUGUUGUGCUUAGUAUGUUGAGUUGCUCGAGUUCUACACACUAAUUCUUACAUAAAAUAAAUGUAACUGGUGUUCUGCAUUAUGAAGUGUAACUACGCUGCUAAGUCCAUUAUGCUUAUAUAGGUC
RNAcentral lists this long non-coding RNA (766 nucleotides) under Salvia miltiorrhiza (redroot sage). RNAcentral describes it as "long non-coding RNA (SMIL_LNC003802)". Lineage: Eukaryota; Viridiplantae; Streptophyta; Magnoliopsida; Lamiales; Lamiaceae. The record is from RNAcentral.